GCCGCGGUGGCGGAACUGGCAGACGCGCCACGUUCAGGGCGUGGUGGAUAUCAGAUCCACGAGGGUUCAAAUCCCUCCCGCGGCACCU
RNAcentral lists this transfer RNA (88 nucleotides) under Chloroflexota bacterium. RNAcentral describes it as "Chloroflexi bacterium (hot springs metagenome) tRNA-Leu". It matches the Rfam family "tRNA". From Rfam's summary of the family: Transfer RNA (tRNA) molecules are approximately 80 nucleotides in length. Their secondary structure includes four short double-helical elements and three loops (D, anti-codon, and T loops). The record is from RNAcentral. Lineage: Bacteria; Bacillati; Chloroflexota.